This 498-nucleotide ribosomal RNA is filed under the name uncultured bacterium. Its description in RNAcentral is "partial 16S ribosomal RNA". It matches the Rfam family "Bacterial small subunit ribosomal RNA", at positions 30 to 523 of the family's 1533-position model. The record is from RNAcentral.
AUUGAACGCUGGCGGCAUGCCUUACACAUGCAAGUCGAACGGUAACAGGUCUUCGGAUGCUGACGAGUGGCGAACGGGUGAGUAAUACAUCGGAACGUGCCUAGUAGUGGGGGAUAACUACUCGAAAGAGUGGCUAAUACCGCAUGAGAUCUACGGAUGAAAGCAGGGGAUCGCAAGACCUUGUGCUACUAGAGCGGCCGAUGGCAGAUUAGGUAGUUGGUGGGAUAAAAGCUGACCAAGCCGACGAUCUGUAGCUGGUCUGAGAGGACGAUCAGCCACACUGGGAUUGAGAAUCGGCCCAGACUCCUACGGGAGGCAGCAGUCGGGAAUAUUGGACAAUGGGCGAAAGCAUGAUCCAGCAAUGCCGCGUGCAGGAUGAAGGCCUUCUGGUUGUAAACUGCUUUUGUACGGAACGAAGAGCCACGGGUUAAUACCCUGGGGUCAUGACGGUACCGUAAGAAUAAGCACCGGCUAACUACGUGCCAGCAGCCGCGGUAA